Molecule: long non-coding RNA, 1110 nt
Organism: Peromyscus eremicus (cactus mouse)
Lineage: Eukaryota; Metazoa; Chordata; Mammalia; Rodentia; Cricetidae
Exons: 3
Source: RefSeq, a predicted model, not a curated record
UCCAAGGCUCUGACUACUCGUCUUCCGGGCUCAACCCUCGUCUCCUCGCAAGAGUUCGUCCCCAAAGCCCCGUCCGCAGAGUCUCACCACCCCUCAGGGACGUCCACCUGGAGCCCCGGGCGCCUCUUCCUCCCCUUCCCCGCUCCCUGCACUCCGCCCAACCCCUUCCCAGAUCCGGCUCACUCCGCCCCAGCCUCUUUCUCAAGUUCCCAGGCCCGGGGCUCCUCUCGGACAACCUCCUCCCGCACUGUGGCCGUUCCUGAGGCCUGUCUCUUCCCUCUGCUGCCUUCCUCAAGACCCAGCCCCAUUCAGUCCCCGGUGCACCUGGCAGGACCCACCCGGAGGCCUCGCCCUCACCUUCCCAGUAAUUGCUGGUUCCCGCCGCCAUCUUUGUUGCCCAACGUCAGUCGGGGCAGGAGAGUAGAGGCGUUGCGGGCCAGAGCGUCACCUCCACGCCUUCUUCCACCCAGAGCGCCAGGGCUGAUGGGAUGUGCGAGUCUCCGUAGAUAGCUCCACCUGGUGGACAGUUCGCUAUUUUACAGCCUGAAGUGGCACGUUAGAAAACUUCGGUUUAACUUAUGAUGCUGCCUGAAUCUGUCUUUUUACGGCCUCCAUCUUCGAUUCGUUCGUCUAGGGCUUGUUCCUCUUUUUAGCAGCUGGAAGGCCAAUCAUUCCCAUUCCCCUUCCCAAUAUAAAGAUCUGCCUGUGGUGGGGACGGCUCAUUGGCAGUGUCACCUAAGAGAAGACUUUCUUCCUGGAGCCCUUUUGUGGAUCAGAGGCUCCAACUGACUGUUUCUGUUCUCCAGGCUUCUGCAGUUGCUUUCUGCUGGAUGACAUCCUAACCCAAAAGCCUGUUUGACGCUGGGCUCUUCCAGAAACAAUAUGAUCAUCACAAGUGACAGUGUGUACAGAUGCUGGAGUCAUGGGAAAUACUUGGAAUUCUAACAGGUGGUGAUGCUCAGGCUGAACCAUGAACCCUGGGCCUUCUACAUGGUAGGCCACUGCUUUACCACUGAGCUACACCCCCAGCUCUAGCUCUAGCAGCCUAAACUUCCCUUACACCUCCUUCACUUUGGCUCAACCUCAAUAACAAUCCUAGAAUAUGAACAA